GAUGAACGCUAGCUACAGGCUUAACACAUGCAAGUCGAGGGGUAACAAGAGGAAAGCUUGCUUUUCUUGUUGACGACCGGCGCACGGGUGAGUAACGCGUAUCCAACCUGCCUAUAACUAGGGAAUAACCUUGUGAAAGUAAGACUAAUACCCUAUGAUUUCCUUUGAUGACAUCAGAUUAGGAAUAAAGAUUUAUCGGUUAUAGAUGGGGAUGCGUCUGAUUAGCUUGUUGGCGGGGUAACGGCCCACCAAGGCAACGAUCAGUAGGGGUUCUGAGAGGAAGGUCCCCCACAUUGGAACUGAGACACGGUCCAAACUCCUACGGGAGGCAGCAGUGAGGAAUAUUGGUCAAUGGGCGGAAGCCUGAACCAGCCAAGUAGCGUGCAGGAUGACGGCCCUAUGGGUUGUAAACUGCUUUUGUACAGGAAUAAAGUUAGCCACGUGUGGUUAUUUGUAGGUACUGUAUGAAUAAGGACCGGCUAAUUCCGUGCCAGCAGCCGCUGUAA
RNAcentral lists this ribosomal RNA (506 nucleotides) under uncultured bacterium. Its description in RNAcentral is "partial 16S ribosomal RNA". It matches the Rfam family "Bacterial small subunit ribosomal RNA", at positions 28 to 523 of the family's 1533-position model. The record is from RNAcentral.